AACGAACGCUGGCGGCAUGCCUAACACAUGCAAGUCGAACGAGACCUUCGGGUCUAGUGGCGCACGGGUGCGUAACGCGUGGGAACCUGCCCUUAGGUUCGGAAUAACUUCCCGAAAGGGGUGCUAAUACCGGAUAAUGUCUUCGGACCAAAGAUUUAUCGCCUUUGGAUGGGCCCGCGUUGGAUUAGCUAGUUGGUAGGGUAAAAGCCUACCAAGGCGACGAUCCAUAGCUGGUCUGAGAGGAUGAUCAGCCACACUGGGACUGAGACACGGCCCAGACUCCUACGGGAGGCAGCAGUGGGGAAUAUUGGACAGUGGGCGAAAGCCUGAUCCAGCAAUGCCGCGUGAGUGAUGAAGGCCUUAGGGUUGUAAAGCUCUUUUACCCGGGAUGAUAAUGACAGUACCGGGAGAAUAAGCUCCGGCUAACUCCGUG
This 433-nucleotide ribosomal RNA is filed under the name uncultured bacterium. RNAcentral's name for it is "partial 16S ribosomal RNA". It matches the Rfam family "Bacterial small subunit ribosomal RNA", at positions 29 to 507 of the family's 1533-position model. The record is from RNAcentral.